UGGGGAAUAUUGGACAAUGGGCGAAAGCCUGACGCAGCGACGCCGCGUGAGUGAUGAAGGCCUUCGGGUUGUAAAGCUCUGUGGGGAGAGAAGAAUAAGUGCGGGCUAAUACCCCGCAUGAUGACGGUAUCUCCUUAGCAAGCACCGGCUAACUCUGUGCCAGCAGCCGCGGUAAGACAGAGGGUGCAAACGUUGUUCGGAAUUACUGGGCGUAAAGCGAGUGUAGGCGGUUUGGUAAGUCGGAUGUGAAAGCCCCGGGCUCAACCCGGGAAGUGCAUUCGAUACUGCCAAGCUAGAGUAUCGGAGAGGUUGGUGGAAUUCUCGGUGUAGAGGUGAAAUUCGUAGAUAUCGAGAGGAACACCGGUGGCGAAGGCGGCCAACUGGACGAAUACUGACGCUGAGACUCGAAAGCGUGGGGAGCAAACAGGAUUAGAUACCCACGUAGUCCCUGAGCGGGCUGGCAAGGCGCAU
Molecule: ribosomal RNA, 471 nt
Filed under: uncultured bacterium
Lineage: Bacteria
Description: bacterial SSU rRNA
Rfam family: Bacterial small subunit ribosomal RNA
Source: RNAcentral